RNAcentral lists this ribosomal RNA (253 nucleotides) under uncultured bacterium. RNAcentral's name for it is "partial 16S ribosomal RNA". It matches the Rfam family "Bacterial small subunit ribosomal RNA", at positions 524 to 776 of the family's 1533-position model. The record is from RNAcentral.
UACAGAGGGUGCGAGCGUUGUCCGGAAUCACUGGGCGUAAAGGGCGCGUAGGUGGCGCUGCAAGUCGGUGGUGAAAGCUCGUCGCUUAACGACGAGUCGGCCAUCGAAACUGCAGGGCUGGAGCACUGUAGGGGCUAAUGGAAUUCCGGGUGUAGCGGUGGAAUGCGUAGAGAUCCGGAAGAACACCAGUGGCGAAGGCGGUUAGCUGGGCAGUUGCUGACACUGAGGCGCGACAGCGUGGGGAGCAAACAGG